CACGAGAGUGACACGCGGGUAACCUGUUUCGACACGAUAAGAAAAAAAGUUUUUUUGAUGAUUUUAAUUUUUUAAACUACUAAAAAAAACUUACUAUAAAAUACAAUAGAUAUAAUGAAUAAUGUAUAUAUUGUUUAUUAAUUAUUAUUCUAUAUAAAUUUUAAAAUUGAAGUUUUAUUUAUUUAUUUAUAUAGUAUAUUAUAGGCAAAGAUUGAGAUUAAAAAUCAUAAAACACAUUAAAAAUAAAAAUAUCAAGUAAUUUAAAAAUACCAAACACAUUAAAAAAUUAUAAUAAUUAAUUUACAUGUGCAAAAAAAUAUGCAAACACUCGUAGUCGCAUCCUUUACGCUUUGAGGAUGGGUAUAUGAUCGUGUGAAUUUUUAAAACCAUACAAACUCUCAUGAAUAGUAUUUUUAAGGGGGUUCAAAAUAAACAAAAUUCAGAAUCAUUAAUGUAUAAGUCUGAAAGAUGUGAAAGCAUAAUAAACGUUCAUAAUUGCAUCCUCAACGCUUAGACGAUGGUUAUAUAGUCAUUUAGAUUUUUAAAAUCCUCCAAAUCUCAUGAACAAUGUUUUUAUUUGAGUGCAAAAUUAAUAAAAUUAAUAAUAAUUAUUGUAGAAGUGUGAAAAAUGUAAUCACUCGUAAUGAAAAACUUUAUAACUUUCACGAAGGGGUCAACUCCGAAAUUUAGUAUGUAUAUACUAAUUUAUUAUUAUGUUUUACAUUUUUUUUGUUCAAAUUAUGUUUUUCAUUUUCAUUUUUAUUGAUUUAAAAUAUAUUUUUCUUAACGAGUAACGGGUCGGGUCAUAUUACUCGAUAAUAUUAACGGGUUAAUUUCGGAUUGGAUCAUAUUACCCGUUUACUUUAACGGGUAUUACACGACACGACCUGUUAAGCUAUCGGGUAUGACACGAAAACGACAUGAACACGAGAAACACGACACGAAUGCCAGGUCUAAUUGUCUUCCUGAUUUCUGAAGCAAUUGAAUUGGUCAAAUCAUAAAUAAAAUUGUGAACAAGGAAAAUUCCUGAAACGAAAGAGACAAGAACAAACGCGCACAAACAAAUAUUAUGUAUUUGAUGAUUUUGGGUUACAAUCUCUCUCUAAUUUGAUCCUCUGAUUCGAUCUCCGUAAGGUGUUGAUUUGUGGGAUGUGCGAUUGAUCCAAGGGCCGUCGAGGCUUGAUCUUGGAUGAACGAGGAUGAACGGAUCUUCAAUGGCUUUUGAGCUUGAUCUUGAAGAAUGGUGAUUGACGGAUCUUCAAGGGCUUUUGGGCUUGAUCUUGAAGAACAGUGAUGAACGGAUUUCCGAGGGAACUCGAAGAAUAGUGAUGAACGGAUCUUCGAGAGCUUUUGGGCUUGAACGGAUCUUCGAGAGCUUUUGGGCUUGAACGGAUCUUCGAGGGCUUUAUGUGAUGAAACGAUGAACGCUUUCUUCAAGGGCCGUCGGGGCUUGAUCUUGGAAGAACGGAUGAUGAACGAUGGUGCUUUCUUCAAGGGCCGUCGGGGCUUGAUCUUGAAAGAGCGAUGGACGAAGAACGAAGAACGAAGAGAGCUUUCUUGAUUCUUCGGGAACCUGGAUGCUUGAGAGCUUCAGAGCUUCAGAGCUUCAGAGCUUCAAGGUGUAAUAUGAAUUGGUUCUCCAAAAUGAAUGAAAUGGGCUUGUAUUUAUAGAAUUUUCCAAGGCCUAAUUUUGAAUAUAAUAUUCCAGAUGAAAUAAGUCGUUUCUGCCAGGUGUUGACACGUGUCCUAUUUGAUGACUUUUCCAACUCAUUUCAAUUUUCGUUGAGUCACACGCUACGUGUAAAAUUUAUGUAAUACAUGAGCGUUGAAACUUUGAUUUAUCGGUCAACUUUAUUUACCGAAAUUUCGAUGUCUACAAAUGCCCCCACUUCAAGGCGCGUCGUAUACAUGUGCUUGUCAUGUGUAGGAGAUGUGUUUUGAAGUCCCUUAUUGUAGAUGUCGAUCCAAGAGCCGUUGGGGCUUGAUCUUGAAUUGGGAUGGAAAUUUCUUCAAGGGCCGUUGAGGCUUGAUCUUGAAUUGGGUUGGAGAUUUCUUCAAGGGCCGUUGAUGCUUGAUC
Molecule: long non-coding RNA, 2077 nt
Filed under: Malus domestica (apple)
Lineage: Eukaryota; Viridiplantae; Streptophyta; Magnoliopsida; Rosales; Rosaceae
Description: long non-coding RNA (MDOM_LNC009527)
Source: RNAcentral